Molecule: ribosomal RNA, 468 nt
Filed under: uncultured bacterium
Lineage: Bacteria
Description: partial 16S ribosomal RNA
Rfam family: Bacterial small subunit ribosomal RNA
Source: RNAcentral
GACGAACGCUGGCGGCGUGCUUAACACAUGCAAGUCGAACGGAAAGGCCCUGCUUUUGUGGGUUUCUCGAUUGGCGAACGGGUGAGUAACACGUGAGUAACCUCCCCUUAUCUUUGUGAUAACUUCUGGAAACUCGGGCGAUAACCGGGGAUAAUCUCUUGCUGCAUGUUGGUGGUUGGAAAGUUUCGGCGGUUGUGGAUGGACUGGAGGGUUAUCAGCUGGUUUGGGGGGUAGUCGCGGACGAGGGCUUUGACGGGUAGCCGGCAUGAGAGGGUGACCGGCCACAUUGGGACUGAGAUACGGACCAGACUCCUACGGGCGGCAGUAGUGGGGAAUAUUGCAGAACGGGCGGAAGCCUGAUACAGAAACGCUGGGUGCGGGAUGCUGGCUUUCGGGUUAUAAACAGAUUUCGACUGUGACGAAGAGUGCGUGACGGUAAUGGGUAAAGAAGCACCGGCUAACUACGUG